Molecule: non-coding RNA, 231 nt
Organism: Vicia faba (fava bean)
Lineage: Eukaryota; Viridiplantae; Streptophyta; Magnoliopsida; Fabales; Fabaceae
Source: the annotation of a GenBank genome assembly
AUGGGGUCAUAUAAGGUUGUCUUUUAUACAAAAGGGUCAUUCAUAAAGGAUGAAGAGUUAAAAUACAAAGGGGGUGAUGUUUACGUUGUAUGUGGAGGCAAGAUUAGUGGUGAGAAGACUUAUAUGGAGAGGUUAAAAGAGAAAGAAAAAGGUCACGUUAAUGUUGAGGAAAAUGAAGAUGGCGAGGACAAUGAAUCAUCUGAAGACUCAUUGAAUGGAAUACACUUUUAA